UUCCAUGUCGAUUUGCCCGACUGUUGCUUGCCAAUCUUUUCUUCGAAAUAAUACUUAAAUUCUAAAUUCAAGACUCGCUUUUCAAAUUUGAGUUUCUUUUUAUUCAAACUAAAACCGCGAAUUUGCGUCACUGACUGUGCUGUUCCUAGCAGCGAGAAUGCGAAUUAUAUCCGCUCAUUACACUUCCCUCCUUAAAAGAAAGGCACUUGCAUAAAGUGUCUUUCUCAAAUUGAAUAGUUCGGGUAGAAUUUGAAUUCACAGAGGAUUUAUGGCUGCUAAGUUUUAAUAGUGUAAAUUUUUCUUAGUGCUGUUUAGUGAAAAAUAAGUGAAAAAAAUGCAAACUGCAGUAUCGCCCUAUUCGAGGAUUAAAAAAAGGCAAUAAAAUAAGUUCUCUAAUUGUGACACCUCUACUUCAUUUUUCAUGUUAAUGUCACUUCACAACAUGUAUUGCAACCAUUGCAACAAAUCGUAGCUCAAGAGGAGCUUCAAUUAGAAAAAUAUACUCGGUAUCUUCUCGUCUCCGAAUUCGGAAGGAAAUCUUGUCCUCCGCCCAAAAACAACUUCGUGAGGAGUCAUGCCAGUGGACUCGUGAACAGAAGUAUUGAAGGAAAAAAUGGCAAACGGAAGCCAUUGGUCCCAGUUACUCCGCUCACUGUAA
This is a long non-coding RNA of Belonocnema kinseyi, 658 nucleotides long. RefSeq lists it as uncharacterized. The record is from RefSeq and is a predicted model, not a curated record. The transcript is spliced from 3 exons. Lineage: Eukaryota; Metazoa; Arthropoda; Insecta; Hymenoptera; Cynipidae.